AUGGGACCUAUGAUGCCCAGGCUCUCCACAACGGUAGCAAGUAACAUCAGAGUACUCAGUCCCAGCAGUUUCUUGAGUUCUAGGAACAUGUCUCCCUUUUUCAGCAUUCUUCUGUUUCCUUUGCUGUUGGUUCCCAACCCUAUUUCCCUCUCCCUGCUCUUGACUCUGCUUUUGUGUCUUCUACACCAGCUUCCCACCUAUGAGCUAGAAGGAGCUUGCCCUGGAACCCAAGAGAUUGAGGGUUCUGCUGCACAGGGGCAGGCCCUUGCAUCACUCCAAAAGGCUGACCAGACCCCUAAUUUCCUGGGUUCCUCCACUGAUUCAUUGGGGGAGGAAAGAAUGGACCCUAGCACCAGGGGGAGGCGGCAUACCUUGGAAACCAUGGCCAUAGGGGGGAAAGUUUUGCUGGGGAGGCCCAAACUGCUGAUCGAAGGUAGGAGUCCACUGUCCCUGGUUGAUUUCCAUCGGGUCGAACUGCUGAUCGAAGGUAGCAGUCAGCGGCGGCGAAACUGCGGUCGAGGAAGAGGUCUCUCCUGA
This 537-nucleotide ribosomal RNA is filed under the name Triticum aestivum (bread wheat). RNAcentral describes it as "partial small subunit ribosomal RNA". The record is from RNAcentral. Lineage: Eukaryota; Viridiplantae; Streptophyta; Magnoliopsida; Poales; Poaceae.